Molecule: non-coding RNA, 203 nt
Filed under: Acinetobacter gerneri DSM 14967 = CIP 107464 = MTCC 9824
Lineage: Bacteria; Pseudomonadati; Pseudomonadota; Gammaproteobacteria; Moraxellales; Moraxellaceae
Description: Acinetobacter gerneri DSM 14967 = CIP 107464 Acinetobacter sRNA 11
Rfam family: Acinetobacter sRNA 11
About the family: AbsR25 sRNA could play a role in the efflux pump regulation and drug resistance.
Source: Rfam by way of RNAcentral
UUUAGCUAGCUUAUGUAUAGCUAAGUUUGCCGAUAUGAGGCAUAAUGCCCUACAACGUAGCGGUGUAUCAUGAUUGAGAAUUAGCGUGAUUUAUCACAAAUUCGAUUUUCAAUCAUGCGACACUUUAAUCGCUAUCCCAGAUUUAUAAGGGAAUGGGACUCUUCACCGAGGUUGUAAAAUGAGACAAACGAUUUUAGCUGUAU